UCGGGAAUUUUGGGCAAUGGGCGAAAGCCUGACCCAGCAACGCCGCGUGAAGGAUGAAGUAUUUCGGUAUGUAAACUUCGAAAGAAUAGGAAGAAUAAAUGACGGUACUAUUUAUAAGGUCCGGCUAACUACGUGCCAGCAGCCGCGGUAAUACGUAGGGACCAAGCGUUGUUCGGAUUUACUGGGCGUAAAGGGCGCGUAGGCGGCAAUUCAAGUCAUCUGUGAAAUCUCCGGGCUUAACUCGGAACGGUCAGAUGAUACUGCUUUGCUAGAGUGCAGAAGGGGCAAUCGGAAUUCUUGGUGUAGCGGUGAAAUGCGUAGAUAUCAAGAGGAACACCUGAGGUGAAGACGGGUUGCUGGGCUGACACUGACGCUGAGGCGCGAAGGCUAGGGUAGCAAACGGGAUUAGAUACCCAUGUAGUCCCUGAGCGGGCUGGCAAGGCGCAU
Molecule: ribosomal RNA, 447 nt
Filed under: uncultured bacterium
Lineage: Bacteria
Description: bacterial SSU rRNA
Rfam family: Bacterial small subunit ribosomal RNA
Source: RNAcentral